RNAcentral lists this ribosomal RNA (410 nucleotides) under bacterium. RNAcentral describes it as "partial 16S ribosomal RNA". It matches the Rfam family "Bacterial small subunit ribosomal RNA", at positions 355 to 776 of the family's 1533-position model. The record is from RNAcentral.
UGGGGAAUUUUGCACAAUGGGCGGAAGCCUGAUGCAGCGACGCCGUGUGGGGGAUGAAGGCCUUCGGGUUGUAAACUCCUUUCGUCAGGGACGAAGUUUGUUUGACGGUACCUGGAUAAGAAGCACCGGCUAACUACGUGCCAGCAGCCGCGGUAAUACGUAGGGUGCGAGCGUUUUCCGGAUUUACUGGGCGUCAAGGGCUCGAGGGUGGUGUGUUGGGUCGUCUGUGUAAUCCAGGGGCUUAACUUUUGGUUGGCAGGCGAUACGGGCAUUGCUUGAGUGCGGUAGGGAAGACUGGAAUUCCUGGUGUAGCGGUGAAAUGCGCAGAUAUCAGGAGGAACACCGAUGGCGAAGGCAGGUCUCUGGGCAGUUACUGACGCUGAGGAGCGAGAGCGUGGGUAGCGAACAGG